CGUAGGUGGCAAGCGUUGUCCGGAUUUACUGGGCGUAAAGAGCGCGCAGGCGGUCGUUCAAGUCGCGUGUGAAAGCCCCCGGCUCAACUGGGGAGGGUCACGCGAUACUGAUCGACUCGAAGGCAGGAGAGGGUAGUGGAAUUCCCGGUGUAGUGGUGAAAUGCGUAGAUAUCGGGAGGAACACCAGUGGCGAAGGCGACUACCUGGCCUGUUCUUGACGCUGAGGCGCGAAAGCUAGGGGAGCAAACGGGAUUAGAUACCCCGGUAGUCCUAGCCGUAAACGAUGGACACUAGGGGUUGGUGGUAUCAACCCCGCCAGUGCCGAAGCUAACGCAUUAAGUGUCCCGCCUGGGGAGUACGGCCGCAAGGCUA
This 372-nucleotide ribosomal RNA is filed under the name uncultured organism. RNAcentral's name for it is "bacterial SSU rRNA". It matches the Rfam family "Bacterial small subunit ribosomal RNA", at positions 526 to 896 of the family's 1533-position model. The record is from RNAcentral.